UUACGGCCAUAUCACGUUGAAACACCAGUUUCGGUACGAUCACCGAAGUUAAGCAACGUCAGAUUUGGUCAGUACCUAGAUGGGUGACCGCUUGGGAAUACCAGGUACUGUAAG
Molecule: non-coding RNA, 114 nt
Organism: Acanthosepion pharaonis
Lineage: Eukaryota; Metazoa; Mollusca; Cephalopoda; Sepiida; Sepiidae
Source: the annotation of a GenBank genome assembly